GACGAACGCUGGCGGCGUGCCUAACACAUGCAAGUCGAGCGAAGUGAUUCGGAGGAAAAUUUUCGGAUGGACCAAAGAAUCAUCUUAGCGGCGGACGGGUGAGUAACGCGUGAGAAACCUGCCUUUCACAAAGGGAUAGCCUCGGGAAACUGGGAUUAAUACCUUAUGAUACUUACACCUCGCAUGAGGAGUAAGUCAAAGCGAAUAAGCGGUGAAAGAUGGUCUCGCGUCCUAUUAGCUAGUUGGUGAGGUAACGGCUCACCAAGGCCUCGAUAGGUAGCCGGCCUGAGAGGGUGAACGGCCACACUGGAACUGAGACACGGUCCAGACUCCUACGGGAGGCAGCAGUGGGGAAUAUUGCACAAUGGAGGAAACUCUGAUGCAGCGACGCCGCGUGAAUGAUGAAGGCCUCGGUUGUAAGUUACUGUCCUUGGGUAGAGUAAU
RNAcentral lists this ribosomal RNA (444 nucleotides) under uncultured bacterium. RNAcentral describes it as "bacterial SSU rRNA". It matches the Rfam family "Bacterial small subunit ribosomal RNA", at positions 28 to 453 of the family's 1533-position model. The record is from RNAcentral.